GAAGCACUGAGGCUCAGCCAGACCUGCAGGGAUCUGAAGAGCAUUGUUCUUUCCUGUUUUAACAUCCCAGGUCAACAGCCAUUCCCCAGUGACUGCUGAGUCCAGGGCUCUGAGCUUCCAGCUGAGAAAGCAGAUGAAAAAGCCACAAACCUGCCUUGAGAGGCUGGUGGUCUGGAAGGGGAGAGGACACAGAGAACAGACAAUGGAAUCAGUGCAGGAGUGAUGAGGGAAAAAGGAAGGACCACCUGAGGCUGACAAGCCCUGGAACCCCAACCCUCCAUUUACCGAGAAGUGCCUAAAGGUCAUGGGUGGCAUCCUGGGUGGUGAAGCACCUGUUACUUGGAAGUACUAAUGCUCCAUGGUCGUCAUCACCUUGCCAAGCCUAGCUCCUCCUAGGUCCAUGGUUGGAUCUGCAUGUCC
Molecule: long non-coding RNA, 420 nt
Filed under: Homo sapiens (human)
Lineage: Eukaryota; Metazoa; Chordata; Mammalia; Primates; Hominidae
Description: long non-coding RNA NONHSAT148459
Source: RNAcentral